RNAcentral lists this ribosomal RNA (407 nucleotides) under uncultured bacterium. Its description in RNAcentral is "bacterial SSU rRNA". It matches the Rfam family "Bacterial small subunit ribosomal RNA", at positions 167 to 573 of the family's 1533-position model. The record is from RNAcentral.
UACCGGAUGGCAUAAUUAUUCCGCAUGGGAUAAUUAUUAAAGAAUUUCGGUUGUCGAUGAGGAUGCGUUCCAUUAGGCAGUUGGCGGGGUAACGGCCCACCAAACCUACGAUGGAUAGGGGUUCUGAGAGGAAGGUCCCCCACAUUGGAACUGAGACACGGUCCAAACUCCUACGGGAGGCAGCAGUGAGGAAUAUUGGUCAAUGGACGAGAGUCUGAACCAGCCAAGUAGCGUGAAGGAUGACUGCCCUAUGGGUUGUAAACUUCUUUUAUACGGGAAUAAAGUGAGCCACGUGUGGCUUUUUGUAUGUACCGUAUGAAUAAGGAUCGGCUAACUCCGUGCCAGCAGCCGCGGUAAUACGGAGGAUCCGAGCGUUAUCCGGAUUUAUUGGGUUUAAAGGGAGCGUA